This 429-nucleotide ribosomal RNA is filed under the name Chloroflexota bacterium. RNAcentral describes it as "Chloroflexi bacterium partial 16S ribosomal RNA". It matches the Rfam family "Bacterial small subunit ribosomal RNA", at positions 355 to 776 of the family's 1533-position model. Lineage: Bacteria; Bacillati; Chloroflexota. The record is from RNAcentral.
UGGGGAAUAUUGCACAAUGGGCGCAAGCCUGAUGCAGCCAUGCCGCGUGUGUGAAGAAGGCCUUCGGGUUGUAAAGCACUUUCAGCGGGGAGGAAGGCGUUAAGGUUAAUAACCUUGGCGAUUGACGUUACCCGCAGAAGAAGCACCGGCUAACUCCGUGCCAGCAGCCGCGGUAAUACGGAGGGUGCAAGCGUUAAUCGGAAUUACUGGGCGUAAAGCGCACGCAGGCGGUCUGUCAAGUCGGAUGUGAAAUCCCCGGGCUCAACCUGGGAACUGCAUUCGAAACUGGCAGGCUAGAGUCGUGUAGAGGGGGGUAGAAUUCCAGGUGUAGCGAUGAAAUGCGUAGAGAUCUGGAGGAAUACCGGUGGCGAAGGCGGCCCCCUGGACAAAGACUGACGCUCAGGUGCGAAAGCGUGGGGAGCAAACAGG